Sus scrofa (pig) is the source of this 2088-nucleotide non-coding RNA. Lineage: Eukaryota; Metazoa; Chordata; Mammalia; Artiodactyla; Suidae. The record is from RefSeq and is a predicted model, not a curated record.
GCUUCCAGAGGAAGGGUCAGGGCACCGAAGCAGGAGGGGAGGGACUCAAGCACGGCCUGUGCUCCAGAAUCCUGCCUGCUGGAAGCCUUCCCCGCCCGAGGCUGAGCAGACUUGUCAGAUGGGAAAGCCGAGGCCCGAGGACGCACAGUGAGGCCGGGCGGUGCGGGGAGGCUGCAAGCCAAGCGAAGGGCCUUAAACCAGGGCUUCGGUUUGAUCUCAGGUAGGGAUCUGGGUUCCAGAAGCCUCCAAGAGCUGCAGUUACAGGUCAGUGUCAGGUCGGCGAGCAUCCUGGGGACACUGCUGUGUCUUCCUGCACCUGCCCUGCCUGGAGCUCAGGUGUCUGGGUCUCCACAGCAGCCUGGGCGGCUGGGAUGGAAGUGGCGCAAGCCACACUCCACAAAGGGCUCCUGGGGAGCUGAGUGGCACCAGCUCUGCUGGGUCUCCAGGGAGAGGGACGGGGCCCCAAAGAUCCAUGAAGGUAGGAGCCAUCCCCAGGCAUCCUGCGGCAAAGGCCAGGGACCCUGACUUUCCUCAGCCCCAGCCCUGCUGCUGCAGCCCAUCAAUCCCCACCCAGCCCCGACCCCUACGUCCCCUCGUCAGACAGUAGUGCCACUCCCUGGGCAUCGUGUCCCCAGCCACACUCUCCCUGAGUGUCCACACAGCAGCUGCUGAAGCCGACCCCACCAGACCAUCCUGGCUUCUGGCUCCCAUUUGGCUGCAGGAUAAAGCCCAACCUCAUGUGCCUGGUGUUCCAGGCCCUCCAGCUCUGCCUCCUGUGUCUAGACUGCCCUUAAGAGGGGAGAAAGGGGGUGUCCCCAGGCAGGAGGCGGUGGCUCUAAGCCUUGUCCAGAGUGGGCGGGCCACCCAGACUGACUGAGCUGCCAGGUGGAGCAGUGUCCCAACCCUAGGUGUGCAUGUGUGAGGGGCACCUGCGAGUGCAGUGGGGGUGAGAGUGUGUGUCCAGUGAUGAUGGGCCACCCUGGGACCGUCCCACGUCCUGGAACCAGCUUUCCCUCCAACUGUCUCUUAACAAACUGACCACCUUCCAGCUCCCCCUCGGAGGACCUCAGCCGAAAUGGUGUGGCCUUGGUCAAAAUGGCCCCCGGGGCACAGAGCUGGGCCUCUGACCCGUGCGGGUGGAGUCUCAGGUCUGGCCUGACCUCUUGCCCCAAGACUGCUCCCCCUGGCUGGGGGUGGGGCCUCAGAUGUGGGCGGGGCCUCAGCAGACAGGGCCGGGGCCUCCCUUGGGGUUUUUUUUUUUAGCCCUUGCUGUCAGCCAGCUUCCUUUCCUUGGGGGCUUCUGUCUGGCCAGGCUGGGUCCUGCUGUUCUUUACCGGGGCGCCAGCCCUCUCCAUCCACGGCCACCUCUUCUCAGAUCCUGUGCCCUAAUAGUGGUGACAGUGCCAACGUGGACGAUAGGAGAGCUUCGGCCCCUGCGAUUCCCGGGCCCCUACCUUGGGAGGGUCCUCAGCAGACCUCCCACCUCUACCCAGACCUCCCACUCCGCUGCUGACACCCUGGCUCAGCCCUCUGAACCUGCCCACCCCCCAGGCCUCUUCAAAAGGACCCCUUCCCAGACACGACCUGCGCCUUCCCAGCAGCCUGUGUCAUCGCAGUCCCCGCGGCCAGGCCUCCCACCAGGCUUCUGGGGGCCAGUGAAAUGUGCCAGCAGUAGGUCGCUUCUGCCACGAGCACCAGCCACAUGGCCCAGCUCGGCUGGUAAAUGGAGGCUUCCAGAACCACAGCCAGGUCAGCAGAAUGUCUCCACCAGACAGAAUCUGCUGGCACACUUCCCUCACAGGUGGGGGAGUUGGCUUGGGGGCUGCCCGCGCUGGAAAGACGGAGGGGACUCGCACCCGCCUGAGUGAGGUCCUGCCUGUGGUGGGCGCUCCCUCUGCCUCUGUGUUGCUCUGACAGAAAGCAGCAAGUGAGCUACUGGUUUACUUGCAGCCCUACUGUGUGCUGCCAGCCCUUACCUGUGCCCGCUCUAAUUCAUAGGGCACUGAAGGCAAGACUUGGGCUCACAGCUGUGUCCCCAGACCCCAGAACUUUGUCACCCGCAAAUCAGGUGCUCAAUAAACUCUUGUU